CACGUAGGGGGCGAGCGUUGUCCGGAUUUAUUGGGCGUAAAGAGCUCGUAGGCGGUUCGGCAAGUCGGGUGUGAAAUUUCGAGGCUCAACCUCGAAACGCCACUCGAUACUGCUGUGACUGGAGUCCGGUAGAGGAGUGCGGAAUUCCGUGGUGUAGCGGUGAAAUGCGCAGAUAUCAGGAGGAACACCAACGGCGAAGG
Molecule: ribosomal RNA, 200 nt
Filed under: uncultured bacterium
Lineage: Bacteria
Description: partial 16S ribosomal RNA
Rfam family: Bacterial small subunit ribosomal RNA
Source: RNAcentral